Neopsephotus bourkii (Bourke's parrot) is the source of this 402-nucleotide long non-coding RNA. RefSeq lists it as uncharacterized. Lineage: Eukaryota; Metazoa; Chordata; Aves; Psittaciformes; Psittacidae. The record is from RefSeq and is a predicted model, not a curated record. The transcript is spliced from 2 exons.
UUAUGUUUCAGCUGGCUGUCAGCAAGGGUGAGGAAGGAAUUCCCCUUGAAACCACAGCCAUCCAGCUGUAUUUGAUGUACUUACCUUCCUCUACAGCCCUAAGAGCUGGUGACAGUUGAAGCCGGAGCAGCAGAAGAUGCAGCUCGUUGAUCUGGCGGGGAACUGACAGUCCUUCCCUAUGGCCCAAGAGCUACAGAGCAGUGAGAGGAGUCCCCAGGGUCAGGGAAAUGUCACUCGGCAUAAGAACCAGAGAGGAAUGCUAAUAAAAGGCCAUCCCUGUGGAAGAUGCUCAGAGAGAUCCAGACCUGACCAGCCCUGCCGGGUUCUGCAAACCCCAAAGCCCUGUUCAGCACAUGGCCUUUCAAAGGUGAAAUGUGAUUAAAGGUGAAAUAUAAAGGAUUA